RNAcentral lists this ribosomal RNA (372 nucleotides) under uncultured organism. Its description in RNAcentral is "partial 16S ribosomal RNA". It matches the Rfam family "Bacterial small subunit ribosomal RNA", at positions 527 to 896 of the family's 1533-position model. The record is from RNAcentral.
GUAGGUGGCAAGCGUUGUCCGGAAUUAUUGGGCGUAAAGCGCGCGCAGGGCGGUCCUUUAAGUCUGAUGUGAAAGCCCACGGCUCAACCGUGGAGGGUCAUUGGAAACUGGGGGACUUGAGUACAGAAGAGGAAAGCGGAAUUCCAAGUGUAGCGGUGAAAUGCGUAGAGAUUUGGAGGAACACCAGUGGCGAAGGCGGCUUUCUGGUCUGUAACUGACGCUGAGGCGCGAAAGCGUGGGUAGCAAACAGGAUUAGAUACCCUGGUAGUCCACGCCGUAAACGAUGAGUGCUAAGUGUUAGGGGGUUUCCGCCCCUUAGUGCUGCAGCUAACGCAUUAAGCACUCCGCCUGGGGAGUACGGCCGCAAGGCUG